AGCAGCCGCGGUAAUUCCAGCUCCAAUAGCGUAUAUUAAAGUUGUUGCAGUUAAAAGCUCGUAGUUGAAUUUCGGGAUUGGCGCAUCGGUCGUGCCUCACGGGGUAUGAACUGGUGCAGUCAAUUUCUCACCUUCUGGAGGACCGCGAUGUCCUUAAUUGGAUGCCGCGGGGAACCAGGACCUUUACUUUGAAAAAUUAGAGUGUUUAAAGCAGGCAUUUUUGCUUGAAUACAUUGGCAUGGAAUAAUAAAAUAGGACGGCAUGGUUCUAUUUUGUUGGUUUCUAGGACCACCGUAAUGAUUAAUAGGGAUAGUUGGGGGCAUUAGUAUUCAAUUGUCAGAGGUGAAAUUCUUGGAUUUAUCGAAGACUAACUACUGCGAAAGCAUUUGCCAAGGAUGUUUUCAUUAAUCAAGAACGAAAGUUAGGGAUCGAAGACGAUCAGAUACCG
This 448-nucleotide ribosomal RNA is filed under the name uncultured Glomeromycotina. Its description in RNAcentral is "SSU rRNA". It matches the Rfam family "Eukaryotic small subunit ribosomal RNA", at positions 569 to 1017 of the family's 1831-position model. The record is from RNAcentral. Lineage: Eukaryota; Fungi; Glomeromycota.